AUGCAGUCGAGCGGAGAUGAGGUGCUUGCACCUUAUCUUAGCGGCGGACGGGUGAGUAAUGCUUAGGAAUCUGCCUAUUAGUGGGGGACAACAUUCCGAAAGGAAUGCUAAUACCGCAUACGCCCUACGGGGGAAAGCAGGGGAUCUUCGGACCUUGCGCUAAUAGAUGAGCCUAAGUCGGAUUAGCUAGUUGGUGGGGUAAAGGCCUACCAAGGCGACGAUCUGUAGCGGGUCUGAGAGGAUGAUCCGCCACACUGGGACUGAGACACGGCCCAGACUCCUACGGGAGGCAGCAGUGGGGAAUAUUGGACAAUGGGCGGAAGCCUGAUCCAGCCAUGCCGCGUGUGUGAAGAAGGCCUUUUGGUUGUAAAGCACUUUAAGCGAGGAGGAGGCUACUUAGAUUAAUACUCUAGGAUAGUGGACGUUACUCGCAGAAUAAGCACCGGCUAACUCUGUGCCAGCAGCCGCGGUAAUACAGAGGGUGCGAGCGUUAAUCGGAUUUACUGGGCGUAAAGCGUGCGUAGGCGGCUGAUUAAGUCGGAUGUGAAAUCCCUGAGCUUAACUUAGGAAUUGCAUUCGAUACUGGUCAGCUAGAGUAUGGGAGAGGAUGGUAGAAUUCCAGGUGUAGCGGUGAAAUGCGUAGAGAUCUGGAGGAAUACCGAUGGCGAAUGCAGCCAUCUGGCCUAAUACUGACGCUGAGGUACGAAAGCAUGGGGAGCAAACAGGAUUA
This 730-nucleotide ribosomal RNA is filed under the name Acinetobacter sp. RNAcentral's name for it is "bacterial SSU rRNA". It matches the Rfam family "Bacterial small subunit ribosomal RNA", at positions 55 to 780 of the family's 1533-position model. The record is from RNAcentral. Lineage: Bacteria; Pseudomonadati; Pseudomonadota; Gammaproteobacteria; Moraxellales; Moraxellaceae.